UACAGGGGGUGCAAACGUUGCUCGGAAUCAUUGGGCGUAAAGCGCACGUAGGCGGUUCGUUAUGUCGGAUGUGAAAGCCCUUGGCUUAACCGAGGAAGUGCAUCCGAAACUGGCGAGCUAGAGUACUAAAGAGGAUCGCGGAAUUCCCGGUGUAGAGGUAAAAUUCGUAGAUAUCGGGAGGAACACCGGUGGCGAAGGCGGCGAUCUGGGUAGAUACUGACGCUGAGGUGCGAAAGCGUGGGGGAGCAAACAGG
RNAcentral lists this ribosomal RNA (254 nucleotides) under uncultured bacterium. RNAcentral describes it as "partial 16S ribosomal RNA". It matches the Rfam family "Bacterial small subunit ribosomal RNA", at positions 524 to 776 of the family's 1533-position model. The record is from RNAcentral.